RNAcentral lists this ribosomal RNA (517 nucleotides) under uncultured bacterium. Its description in RNAcentral is "bacterial SSU rRNA". It matches the Rfam family "Bacterial small subunit ribosomal RNA", at positions 25 to 518 of the family's 1533-position model. The record is from RNAcentral.
CAGAACGAACGCUGGCGGCGUGCUUAACACAUGCAAGUCGAACGCGAAAGGGACUUCGGUCCUGAGUAAAGUGGCGGCACGGGUGAGUAACGCGUAGAUAACCUGUCUUCAUGGUCUGGAAUAAUACGCCGAAAGGGGUACUAAUACCGGAUAUUCUUGCUUUUCAUAAGUUAUGCAAGCAAAGGUGGCCUCUGCAUAUGCUACUGCAUGAAGAGGGGUCUGCGUACCGAUUAGCUAGUAGGUGGGGUAAUGGCCUACCUAGGCGACGAUGGUUAGCGGGUCUGAGAGGAUGAUCCGCCACACUGGCACUGGAACACGGGCCAGACUCCUACGGGAGGCAGCAGUGAGGAAUAUUGCGCAAUGGGGGAAACCCUGACGCAGCGACGCCGCGUGAAGUGAGGAAGGCCUUCGGGUCGUAAAGCUCUGUCAAGAGGAAAGAAGUGUACAAUGGCUAAUACCUGUUGUAUUUGACGGUACCUCUAAAGGAAGCACCGGCUAACUCCGUGCCAGCCGCAGC